AGAGUUUGAUCCUGGCUCAGGAUGAACGCUGGCGGCGUGCCUAAUACAUGCAAGUCGAGCGAACAGAUAAGGAGCUUGCUCCUUUGACGUUAGCGGCGGACGGGUGAGUAACACGUGGGUAACCUACCUAUAAGACUGGAAUAACUCCGGGAAACCGGGGCUAAUGCCGGAUAAUAUUUAGAACCGCAUGGUUCUAAAGUGAAAGAUGGUUUUGCUAUCACUUAUAGAUGGACCCGCGCCGUAUUAGCUAGUUGGUGGGGUAAUGGCUUACCAAGGCAACGAUACGUAGCCGACCUGAGAGGGUGAUCGGCCACACUGGAACUGAGACACGGUCCAGACUCCUACGGGAGGCAGCAGUAGGGAAUCUUCCGCAAUGGGCGAAAGCCUGACGGAGCAACGCCGCGUGAGUGAUGAAGGUCUUCGGAUCGUAAAACUCUGUUAUUAGGGAAGAACAAAUGUGUAAGUAACUGUGCACGUCUUGACGGUACCUAACCAGAAAGCCACGGCUAACUACGUG
This 517-nucleotide ribosomal RNA is filed under the name uncultured Staphylococcus sp. RNAcentral describes it as "bacterial SSU rRNA". It matches the Rfam family "Bacterial small subunit ribosomal RNA", at positions 8 to 507 of the family's 1533-position model. Lineage: Bacteria; Bacillati; Bacillota; Bacilli; Caryophanales; Staphylococcaceae. The record is from RNAcentral.